RNAcentral lists this long non-coding RNA (1293 nucleotides) under Equus caballus (horse). RNAcentral describes it as "lncRNA (ENSECAG00000046783.1)". The record is from RNAcentral. Lineage: Eukaryota; Metazoa; Chordata; Mammalia; Perissodactyla; Equidae.
AACAAGUUGAUUAAAUUUUUUGAGACUCCUUUUCCUUGUAUAUCAGAUGAAAUAGGAAUAAUAAUAGCCAACUUACAGCCAUUUUCAGCUGGGGCUGAAUUUAAGGCGACAAUCCCAGGGAAGAUCUGCAGCCACGUGUCUUCUCAAACCCAAAAGGGGACCAGAGUCUGAUCAAGUCAUUCUUCUUCAAACCCUUUGGUGACUCUCCAGCUGCUCUUAGGACAAAGACUAAGUUCCUUCUCAAGGCCUUCCAGGCCCUGCAGAUCUGUCCUUACUCAUCUCUCCAUGCCUCCUGACUCACCACAUUCCGGCCACCCUGACCUUCUGCCGCUGUCUUGAGCAUGCUGCCUCCUCUGCCAAGAAUAGGCCCCUCUCCCGGCCCUUCACUGCCUAACCCCUUCAGGUCCCAACGGAAGUGUCAUUCUCUUAAGGAAGAUUUACUGCACUUCCAGACUGGAUGAGGUUCCCUAGUCAUAUGAUCUCAUGGAAACCUCUGCUUUUCUUCAUAGACAUCAUAUUGUUAUGAACUCAUUAUUUUUGUGAUUCCAUUUAAUGUCUAUCCCUUCUAGACAUUAAGUUUCAUGAGGGCAGUGACCCUGUCAUCCUUUCUCAUGGCUGACAGUCCCUGGAGCUUAGCGGGACUGGGCAUAGAAGCUUGCUUCAUAAAUAUUUGUUGGAUGGAUAAGUGGAGUAGUGGGCGGAUAGAUGCUGUUUUAGUCUAGUGGCGCCCAGUUUGGAUCUCUGCAAGAUCCCUCUGGGGAAUGUGGGUCAUUCUGAGAGACAGAUGGGUUACAAACAGCAAUACUCUGAAGAGUAGAGGACAAAUAAAAUGUAUUGACGGAAGGAAGGCCUUCUCACCACAUUCACAGGGUUUGUCAGCACUCAGGCAACUCCCUCAACAAAGGACACACAUACACUGCCAGUGGUGGAGAUGAAAUAACCCCAGGGCAAGGGCUGCCCUCCCCUGAGAGGCUGGCCCUCCCCUGUCCAAUACAGUAUAGCCACUAGCCACAUGUGGCUAUCAAGCCCUUGAAAUGUGGCCAGUGUGACCAAGGAACUGAUUUUUAAAUGUUAUUUCAUUCUGUGAUUGACAUUGAAGUUUAAAAACUAAUCCUUAAUUUGGUUAUUAGAAAAAAUUAGUAUGUUUGGAACAACUUGGCUAGGUGAAACUACUUUUUCCACUGUAAAUUUUAGGAAGUCUAAAUGUGGAUUAGGUAUUUCUUAAUGAAAAUUUGGCACCCUAUUUGAAGUGUAGCAUAUACCAAAUUUCAAAGACAGUACCCAAAAAAGGCA